Molecule: transfer RNA, 66 nt
Filed under: human gut metagenome
Also listed under: 2 other names
Rfam family: tRNA
About the family: Transfer RNA (tRNA) molecules are approximately 80 nucleotides in length.
Source: RNAcentral
UGGUGUGGCUCAAUGGUAGAGCAGCUGACUUGUAAUCAGCAGGUUGAAGGUUCGAUUCCUUUCACC